GGUACAAUGAACCAACGCCAUCUUAAAACAGCUGAACCAUGCGAUAAAUAUAUUAGGAAGGAACAAGAGUCAAGAACUAGCAUAUCUUUCGAGCAAAAUACUAGCUCAUACUCCCUAGGCCUGACCCCAAUUCAGGCCGAUUAGGGUCACAUAUGCUGGGGGAGAGGGGUGAGACAUUGACAGUGCUAAAUAAUAGAAGUCGAUGCCUAUGGCUUCAUCUAAUAUAAUAUAUCAUGAGUACUAUUUGAAUUUCACUAAUGGCUGGCCUAAAAGCUUGCUGACUAGGAGCUUCGAAAGGAGCACCUA
This 306-nucleotide long non-coding RNA is filed under the name Elaeis guineensis (African oil palm). Its description in RNAcentral is "long non-coding RNA (EGUI_LNC011591)". Lineage: Eukaryota; Viridiplantae; Streptophyta; Magnoliopsida; Arecales; Arecaceae. The record is from RNAcentral.